GGGCGGGGAGCCGGGAGCACGGUGGAGCGGUGGAGGGCGUCACUGGGUUUCGGCGUCUAGCAAGUGGUUCAGCUGUCUGCUCCCUAGCAGCCGGCCUUCGGGUCGGGCGUCUCCGUCGGCGACUGCCGCUUCAGUUCUCCCGGUGUGGCCACGAGUCGGGUUGCACUGCUGUGAUCCAUCCUCAUCUCCUAAAGAUGCAUCCUGACUUAUCUCCACACUUGCACACUGAAGAAUGCAACGUCUUGAUUAACUUGCUUAAGGAAUGUCACAAAAAUCACAACAUUCUGAAAUUUUUUGGUUAUUGUAAUGAUGUUGAUCGGGAGUUGAGAAAAUGCCUGAAGAAUGAGGGUCUCGCUCUGUCACCUAAGCUGGAGUGCAGUAGGGUGAUCGUAACUCACGGAAGCCUCAAACUCAAGUGAUCCUCCCACCUCAGCCUCC
Molecule: small RNA, 438 nt
Filed under: Pan troglodytes (chimpanzee)
Lineage: Eukaryota; Metazoa; Chordata; Mammalia; Primates; Hominidae
Description: processed transcript
Source: RNAcentral